RNAcentral lists this ribosomal RNA (253 nucleotides) under uncultured bacterium. RNAcentral describes it as "partial 16S ribosomal RNA". It matches the Rfam family "Bacterial small subunit ribosomal RNA", at positions 524 to 776 of the family's 1533-position model. The record is from RNAcentral.
UACGAAGGGGGCUAGCGUUGCUCGGAAUGACUGGGCGUAAAGGGCGCGUAGGCGGUCUGUCGCGUCGGAUGUGAAAACCCAGGGCUCAACCCUGGGCCUGCAUUCGAUACGGGCAGACUAGAGUUCGGUAGGGGAGACUGGAAUUCCUGGUGUAGCGGUGAAAUGCGCAGAUAUCAGGAGGAACACCGGUGGCGAAGGCGGGUCUCUGGGCCGAAACUGACGCUGAGGAGCGAAAGCGUGGGGAGCAAACAGG